GACGAACGCUGGCGGCGUGCUUAACACAUGCAAGUCGAACGGAAAGGCCCUGCUUUUGUGGGGUGCUCGAGUGGCGAACGGGUGAGUAACACGUGAGUAACCUGCCCUUGACUUUGGGAUAACUUCAGGAAACUGGGGCUAAUACCGGAUAGGAGCUCCUGCUGCAUGGUGGGGGUUGGAAAGUUUCGGCGGUUGGGGAUGGACUCGCGGCUUAUCAGCUUGUUGGUGGGGUAGUGGCUUACCAAGGCUUUGACGGGUAGCCGGCCUGAGAGGGUGACCGGCCCCAUUGGGGCUGGGAUACGGGCCAGACUCCUACGGGAGGGAGCAGUGGGGAAUAUUGCACAAUGGGCGGAAGCCUGAUGCAGCAACGCCGCGUGCGGGAUGACGGCCUUCGGGUUGUAAACCGCUUUCGCCUGUGACGAAGCGUGAGUGACGGUAAUGGGUAAAGAAGCACCGGCUAACUACGUG
Molecule: ribosomal RNA, 468 nt
Filed under: uncultured bacterium
Lineage: Bacteria
Description: partial 16S ribosomal RNA
Rfam family: Bacterial small subunit ribosomal RNA
Source: RNAcentral